CUUGAAGCUAAUAUGUGUCUCUGAAGAUAACUUUGGACCCCGGCUAUCGUCAUGGUGUCACAAGUCUCUAAGAGACAGGCAAUUGCCGACUUGAAUCUGUAGAGAAAAUUCCAAAGUAGAAAUUCCCCUGCACUGAAGAAACCCUAAGUCCUAUUAUCCAAUGUGUAUGUGUGACAUCGCUAACCAGCUUUAAGUGCCCAGACAUUGUACUAAGUGAUUGGGACACAAAUGAAAGCAAAAACAGGGUAAAUGGUUCUCCACGUAUGAUUUUGGAUCUCACAAUUUGAGAGAUGUAGAAAAUGUGCAAAGUUCAAAGAAGAGCUUCAAAAGGGGAUUAAAGGGUAAUUUAAUCCCUACCUUUUAGUCAGAUCAUUUUAAAAAUACCUGAGAUUUUUCCUUUGAUUCUAUUGCCCAUAAAUUCAGAUUUGGUAUGGAAGACUUAACGAACAUGUUCCUUCUCAGAAAUGAUCGUGGCACCAGGAAAAUUAAUUUUUGACCUUAGCCUGGCCUAAAUAGUAGAGACUUUUUCCUAGCAUGGGCAUGGCCCUAGAUUUAAGAGAAAAGGCUAAAUGAGUUAGUAUACGAUCAUAGACUAGAGAACUAGAAAGGUAUUUGGCCUUCAUUCAGUCCACCCCUCUUUUUAUCAUCAAGGAAAAUGAGGCUCAGAGAGCCUAGUGCCAGCCAAAGAUCACACAGGGAGCAAAUGGCAAACCUGGGAUUCCAAUAGAUUUUCCUCCUACAGAUUCAGUGUUCUGUCCUUAGCAUCAUCUAGGGAGAAAAAAGCAAAUGGGUAAACUGAGUACAAAUAUUGAAAUAUUUUGAAAUAUGUAGAAGAUAGUAGCCUCUAUUCCUAAAGCUAAAAAGGUAUUUGCUUGGCAGGAGUCCAAGCCAGUGAUUUCACUGGUAUGUGAACCAUUCAUGGAAAAUAUCUCCCCCAAUGGCAGUGAUUCACCUACAAUUUAUGGUUUUGGAUGCCUAGGAGGCUAACCUAAGAAAUUAAUUGGUUUUCUCAUAGUCAGAAAACUAGUAUGUCAGAGGCAGGAUAGGAAUUCAGUUUUCCUGAAUCCAGGACCAGCCCCAUAUCUGCUACAUCACAUUGCCUUAGUCUAAACAUUAGAGGUCUUAGACCUGUUACAACAGGAAGACUUUAAGGUAAAUAG
RNAcentral lists this long non-coding RNA (1160 nucleotides) under Monodelphis domestica (gray short-tailed opossum). Its description in RNAcentral is "lncRNA (ENSMODG00000044429.1)". The record is from RNAcentral. Lineage: Eukaryota; Metazoa; Chordata; Mammalia; Didelphimorphia; Didelphidae.